Molecule: ribosomal RNA, 341 nt
Filed under: Hesperinus brevifrons
Lineage: Eukaryota; Metazoa; Arthropoda; Insecta; Diptera; Hesperinidae
Description: partial 16S ribosomal RNA
Source: RNAcentral
UCUUUUAAUUUGAGGCUUGUAUAAAUGGUUAGACAAAAUAUUUUCUGUUUCAUAAAAUUUUAAUUGAAUUUUAUAUUUUAGUAAAAAAGCUAAAAUAAAAUUAUAGGACGAGAAGACCCUAUAGAAUUUUAUAAUUAUUUAUAAAAAAUUAAUUUAGAUAUUUUAUAAUUUUAUAUAGAUAAUUAUUUUAUUGGGGUGAUAAUAAAAUUUUAUAAACUUUUAUAAAUAUUUAACAUUAUAUAAGUGAUUAAUUGAUCCAUUUUUAAUGAUUAAUAAAUUAAGUUACCUUAGGGAUAACAGCGUAAUAUUUUUUAAAAGUUCAUAUUAAUAAAAAAGAUUGC